Molecule: small nuclear RNA, 126 nt
Filed under: Marchantia polymorpha subsp. ruderalis
Lineage: Eukaryota; Viridiplantae; Streptophyta; Marchantiopsida; Marchantiales; Marchantiaceae
Description: U4 spliceosomal RNA
Rfam family: U4 spliceosomal RNA
About the family: U4 small nuclear RNA (U4 snRNA) is a component of the major U2-dependent spliceosome. The structure of U4 snRNA from yeast and human has been reported.
Source: Rfam by way of RNAcentral
AUCUUUGCGCUUGGGGCAAUGACGCAGAUAGUGAGGUGAAACCGAGACGCGUCAAUUGCUGAUUGAAAACUAUUUCCAAACUAUUUCCAUUUACACAAGGAUUUCUUUAAUUACUCUGCUAAAGUU